RNA transcript from Anolis carolinensis (green anole), 20200 nucleotides. It is a transcript of the gene named formin 1, with no coding region annotated. The transcript is spliced from 3 exons. Lineage: Eukaryota; Metazoa; Chordata; Lepidosauria; Squamata; Anolidae. The record is from RefSeq and is a predicted model, not a curated record.
UUAUUAUUAUUAUUAUUAUUAUUAUUAUUAUUUUAAUAUAUAUAUUUAUUGAAGUUUUACCUUAUAAGAUAGAGUAAAUUAACAUUGAAAGAGUGAGAACAUUUGAUUGUAUAGAAAGUGGGAAAACUGAGAUUUAAAAAGGAUCCUUUUUUGAUCCUUUUUUAAAUUAUUAUUAUUAUUAUUAUUAUUAUUAUUAUUAUUAUUAUUAUUAUUAUUUAUACCCCGCUAUAUCUCCCCUAAGGGGACUCAAAGCGGCUAUUUUAAAAAAAUGCUAGUAUAUAAAACCACAUAUUUCAGUUCCAUUGCAUAUUGUUUGAAAGGUAAACACCUAUCAAUUAUUUGGUGCAGUUUGUUGUCAUGUUUAGACUUGCAGUAAUUAACAUACCAAAUAUGCUUAGGGUCUGGAUUCCAAAGUGCUAUCAUUACUAGUGACUGAAUGCAAUGGCAAAUUUAGCAGGGACCCAUACCAGGGGGGAAGAUAAGUGUCCAAGCGCUGUGACUCAUAGAGCCCUCUAGAUAUUGUUGGAUUAGAAUUAGCAUUGAAAGCAUUAACAUAGUGAAAAAUGUUGGUGAUUGAAGAGCAAUACGAACCAAAAGGCCAGAGAUUGUUUAUUCCUGCAUUAGACAUUUUACCAUUUAUACGGAGUGCCUUCCAUUACUGCUAUUCAUAAGAGAGAUUUUGAGAUGUCCUUCUUUUAUUCCCAGACAUCCUCAAAGCCUGUUCUGAAGUUGUAUUCUUUUUUAUUCCCAUCAAGGAUAAGAUCAAGGAUAAUGUCCUAAUGUGCAAGCACAGAUAAUUGUGCUAAAAUUAGUAUUGUUUUUCUGUGCUGAGGGUGAACAUUAUAUAGUAUUAAAUACCUUUCAGAGUUAAUAUAUCUGUGCAACUGGAAUGUUCUUUACUUGCUGCUUUGAAUUCUGUGAUAAUUUUUGAUCUCUAAAGACUUCAUCACACUGAGGUUCCUAACAAGGGCGACACCAGGGGAGAUUGCUGGAAUUCCCGCCACCCGCAAUGUGUGGGGGAAAGCACUGCGGCUUGGCUUUCCCCCAUAGUAGGCUAUGAGAACAUGGGUAGCACCCAUGUUCUCAAGGCUCCAUCCUAGGAUACUUCUAGGAUGGAACAACAUCAGAAGUAGCCAUGCGCUGUGUGAAGGACUCCCGCAGGUAUCCUAGACAGAGCUAGAAGCCAAUGUGAUGCUGUUCUGUUGUAUGUUUACAGUAUUUGGUUUUCCUCUGUUACGGCUCGUUAUUUUGCUUCUGAAGAGGCAAUCAACUAGAUGUUGGGAAAAUGAAAACUUUAGUUUGAAAGGUCACUUAAAUAUUUCAUUGUGAGAAUGUGUGGAAGUAAUGCACUGUUGUAUAUUGUAAAGCUGGAGUUUUGCUUUUUUGCAAAUAAUGUGAUAGGAGACUUUCAGUCAUUCGGUGUUCACAUUUUUGGGACAAAAAUAGGAUAUUGAAGGACAUUGAAUAAAAAGUCUCAUUCGUCUUGAUGAGUCUACUGUAGCUGAAAUUAAAGUUGAGUUUAGUUCUAUUGCAGGUAUUGGUUGAAGUGAACUAUGUUUCCUCAUUAAGUAUUAAAACUUGUGCUACCUCAUCAGGUAUUAAAACCUUUGUGGAAGCAUUAAUAUAACACUUCAAAUUAUUUGUUCUGCUAAAGUGGUGAUAAGACAGUGUUCCUAAAUUUCUGCAGAUGAAAAUAUGCUAGACAACCAGAAUUACAAUAAUAGGAAACAGUGUCAUGAUUUCGUUAUAUUGUCUUUUAUUAUUAGAACACUGGUUAUUAUGUGCUCCCAAAUCAUUUUUUACUAAUGGAAACCCUAAGGUAAAUCUAACAACAUAGCAAGAUUUGUUCCAAGAAGGUUUGCCUUUGCCUUACAGUAUAUAAAUUUAGAAUAUUUUCUUUAUCUAUUGCGACAAGUUGCUUUGGUCAAAAAUUGUGAUAAGAUGGUAUCAAUCAACUUUAUUAUGAUCACAAAUCAGCCAUGAUAAAACUUGUUCCUAUUAAAUUACUGUGCCAUUCGGUAUUGAUUUUUCAAAAGGCCAUUGUUUCUUGCUAUAAAACCAGUACAGGCAGUCCCCAAGUUAUAAACAAGAUAGUGCAGUAGGUACCUCAUCAGACGAGCUGAUUUGCUCAUUGUACGAUGCUUCCCCGCCAUUUUUGGCACUGAGUCUUUCACAUAACAUACAGGAACUGCCGAUUGGGCUCCCAUCCGAAAAGGGAGAGGAGGCAGUGCCCUCCGCCUCCGCCGCAACACAGGACCCUUCCCGUGUUGCCUUCCCAGCAUUGGGGGGAAGCCGGGCAGCGACGUUUCCCCCAUUGAGAUGAGUUAAGUUAAGUCAGGUGAUGCAGGGCAUGGAGCAGUGGCUUCUCUAUGCUUCCCUCCGGGAGCCCAUGGAUUUGCCCCAAUGCAGGGAGAAUACAAGGGCCUUUUAGAUGAGGUCCUAUGUUUGUUCUUAAGUUUAAUUUGUUUGUAAGCCAGAACAGUUACAUUUAAAAGUUACAUUUUAAAGACAAAAAUAUAUUUAUUAGCUUUGGAUAGCAUAGGGAAGAAUUAACACGACCCUGUGAUGUUUGUUUUGCUGUCUGUGUCCCUGUUCAGAAAAUUUCAGUUCACUUCCUGUCCCUGUGAUAUAACUGGAUUUUGAAAAAUGUGGCUUGUUGUGGAAACAAGGUUUGGAGAUAAAGCUUCAGUAGAGACCUCUUUUCCCCCAAUAACUUUUUCAGGAGUGAAUUUAGCUUCCAUGGGGUAUAUUUCUCCCACUUUCUGUUGUCUCACCCCCUGAGUCAUUUGUAAGUCAGAUGUUUGUAACUUGGGGACUGCCUGUAAUUGCAAACGUUAAAUAAUACUUUGUAUAGUCUUUUCAUUUCAAAGGUUAAUAGUAAAGAAAAAGAAAAAAGAAGAGCAGCCACUAUUGGCUAGUUGCUAUUGUUAGAAAUGAUCACAUAGAUAGAAUAAAUGUCAUUUUUCUUGUUUUAUGUGAUCUUUUGUCUUCUGUGUUUGCAUAUUUGCAAGUCUAUGUCCCUUCUUUCCCUUUUUAAGUUGCUUUAUCCUGCAGUAAAGUCAUGCUGUCGCUAUGGCACCUCAAUUUCCAUGACAACAGACUUUGAUACUACACAGACUAUUUUUAUUUCAGUGAGACCAAGAGGCUAGGUUGUGAGUGCAAAAUCCUUUAUUAAAACAAAAAUGACUUAAAUGAAGAAUUGCGGAUAAAACUGUAUGCCACAGAAAAAUGGGUUUCAGCUGUAUUGUAAAUUGCCUUAGAUGUGUUUUAAUGAAAGUUGUUUUUGCUUUGAAUAAUACGAAAACUGACAUUUUGAAUACUGGCAUAGAAGCCAUAAAAUCAUAGCUGUAAUUUCUGGCAAUGAUAAGAAAUAUUUUGAAGCUCUGUCCCACUACUCUUCGAUGUCUGCCUUUGUACAACCCAAAGGAAAAUUUGAUUAUUUUAAUUGUUGUCCAUUUUAGAUUAACUGUUGCUUCUACUUGGUACUGAAUGCCUAAUAAUUGUUUAUUCAGCUCCGUUUGUUUUAGUUGUUUGAUAAGAUCAAGUAAUGUCAAAUCAGUUUAUUUUUAUUUAUAUCUUCCUUGGUUUCUUUUGAGAUAAGACAGUCCCUUUCUAACAAAGGAAGUGCAAUAAAUCAAAUUCUCUUUGAAUUUCAGCUUAGCAUCACAAAAUAAUAAUAAUCAUCAUCAUCAUCAUCAUCAUCUUUAUUUAUACCCUGCCACCAUCUCCCCAGCGGGGACUCGGGGCGGCUUACAUGGGGCCAUGCCCAGAACAAUACAAUUUGACAGAAUAUAAAAAGAGCAACACAUCAUAACACAUUUGAACAAUACAAUAAAUGAUAAUAUACAUUACAACGCAAAAUCAGAAGAACAAGGGCGGGCCACAAGAACACUAAGUUAAAACUCGGGGUGAGAAAAGGAAUAAGAAUAAAAACCACAAAGAACAGGGUCAUAAAAUAGUGGUGCAAUCUGGAGGAUAGACUUUUGAAGACAAAAGUCUUUUGAAGUAAACUUGGAAUAUUGACACCCAUCUUGUAUAAUGGGUUGCUUUUCAUAUUUAUGGAUGAAUGUUUUAUUUUUUCAAUUGUGAAUGAAAUAGAUUAAUGUAUAAGUAGGUAAAGGUUUCCCCUGAUGUUAAGUCCAGUCAUGUCUGACUCUGGGGGUUGGUGCUCAUCUCCAUUUCUAAGCCGAAGAGCCGGCAUUGUCCAUAGACACCUCCAAGGUCAUGUGGCCAGCAUGACUGCAUGGAGCGCCGUUACCUUCCUGCUGGAGAUCUACUCACAUAUUAAUAUACUAUAUUAAUAUAUAGUAUAACAAUAAUAAAACAAAUUGAUUGACAAAAUUAGCAGUAUAGAUUACUAACUGAAUCUCCCAUCAUUGUACCCUUUCAAUAUUUUGAACACCUGAAAAAGGACAGUUUCCUUAAAACAUAGAACAGGAGUAGUCACGGCUCAGCAAUCAAUUUCUUCCCAAAGCACUUCUGUUGCAUUGGUGGUAUCACAUUUUGCUUAUCUUUAUAUAUAUUCAUUAAAAACGAACAUUUUCAAUAUUACUACGGUCUUCCAGUCAAGUGGAAGCUCCAUAAAAGCUUGAUAAUUUUUCCAUGAGCACCAGUUUCCAAAAUCUGAGCAUUCCGUGAAAGACUAAGAUUAUAUAAUCUUAGUGUAGUGGUUUGGAUAUCGGACUAUGGCUCUUCAGACCAGGGUUCAAAUCCCUGUUUGACCAUGGAAACCUACUACUUGACAUUGGGCAAGUCAUACCCUUGGAAGAAAGCAAAGGCAAAUUCCCUCUGAACAAACCUUUCCGAGAAAACCCUGUUAUUGAUUCACCUUCAGGUCCACUUAGAUCAGAAAUGACUUGAAGGCACACAACAUUUAAUGAUACCCAGUUUAUUACCAUUUCUAUAUGUGUAUAGCAUAAAGCCUAUUAUUUCUCUGUGAUUCAGCUUUCCGUUUCCUUUCAUAAGCAAAUAGAUCAAUAAAAUACUUCUAUGAGAGCUAUUUUCUGGAAUAGGUUUGUGAUUCCUGCAAUUUUAUUUAACCAACAAGUAUUUCUUUUGAGGCAUUCAGGCCACAUGUGGGUUUGAUAGCCUAUCUGACAUUUCAGUGUGCAUUGAAGCAAGGCACACUGGCAUAAGGUAUCAUCUAUGUAUUAAUUUCCUUUUGUUUCUUUUGUUUGUGCUGAUCUUGAUUUGAAAGCUGGUGCUGAUCAAAUCUGUCCCCACUGCAUGUUCAUUCAUUUAUAAUUUAGAUCAGAUUGUCAUAGUGACUUCAAUUCCAAGCCUCUUUCAUAUUCUACCUCUUCUAGUGACUCAUAUUUGUAUGCUGCUUGCCUUAUUAAUAAUGGUUGACAGUGAAACCACUGUUAUUGUAAAGGCAUGUAAAUGCUCCCCGAUUCCCUUUAACAGUCAGCAUCUGGCAUAUUUAUACACUGUAGAAUCAAUGCAUUUUGAGACUACUUCAACGGCCAUAACUCAAUGCUAUGGAAUCAUGGGAGCUGUAGUUUUACAAUGUCUUUGGCAGAGAGUGCUGGUGCCUCAAUAAACUACAAAUCCCAGGAUUACAUUACAUGGAGCCAUGGCAGUUUAAGUGAUGUCAAGCUGCAUUAAUCUACAGUGUGGAUGCACCCUUGAUCAGGUUACAAUGGUUGUCCGACUGCUUACUGGGGUCUUUGCAACUCCCCUUCACCAGUGAGUGAGUCUGUGACACAGACCUGUGAUAAGGGUCCUACUUUUGAUUAUCACAUCUUCACUUGCUGACAGAAGAGGAUUGAAAACAUCCUACUGUACCCUGGUUGGAAGCUGAAGAGACCUCUUUCCCCUGUUCUAGCUGGUAAGUUGAAUGAGCGGCAGUCUGGCGAGGAGACAUUAUUUAUCUAUAUCUACAGAACUAAGCAAUCAAUGUGGAGUAUCAAUGGUUAUCUUUUGUAACACAAAUUUUUUGAAACCUAGUUAAUCAUCUAUCUAGGCAGCACAGCCUUUGAACUGUUGUUUGAGGAAGACAAAAGAUUUGCUUGACUCAGAGCCGUAUGUAAUUUAUAUAUCUUAAUGUUUUUUUUACAUUCUUUCUGGUAAUUGCUUUCUGGUAAUUUCUUUAUUUAUCCAUAUAUAUUAUGCUUAAGUAUACCCUUCUGUAUCUUGGUCUGGGUAUAUUGAAAAGAGGCAUGUUGGAGAAAGACUCAGCUAACAUUUUAGCCUAUUUCCUCUAUGUAGUAAGAGAGUCACUAUGUAGUAAGAGAUGUUGGAUGUGUUGCCAUGUUAAAUUAAUUGUAUAGCUUGGUCCAACUGAAAAACUGUUAAGUAUAAAUCUGGGCCUGAUACUACUAGACCUCCCUUCCUUGUCACGUUAUAGCUAGAAAAAUUAUGGGUUUUACUAUUUUUAAAAGUUUGUUGAUUACUAAACAAGAGGAAUCACUGCUCUACCUUGUCAAAAGCUUUAAGAGCAUGGACUGAUAAUUAUCAUAGCUAAUGUUGAUUCAAUAAUACUAUAAUACAGGCUAAUAUUUAAUGGUUUUUCUUUUGCAUCUGUCAGUUUACAGCCAUUUGGUCUAUAUACUGUUACAUCUCAUGGAUUCUCAUCUAGUUUAGGUAUAGGAAUAAUUCUGGAAGUAUUUCAAGUUUCUGGAAUGGAUAUGUCACUGAAGAUGUAAUUGGAUAUUCCUGUUAACAUGGGAGUAAAAAGUCUGAGCCAGAGGAUUUACUGGUUUUAAGGCUAUGAUUGUUUUGACAUCUUUCUCUUUUUAAUUUUUUAAUAGACAUUGGUACUCAUCUCUAUUAGGUUUUUUUUUUUUAAAUCCAUUCAUGUCUGCAUAGACUGCAGUUAGUAAAGGUAAAGGUUUCCCCUUGACAUUAAGUCUAGUCGAGUCCAACUUUGGGGGUUGGUGUUCAUCUUCAUUUCUAAACCGAAGAGCUGGCAUUCUGUGUAGAUGCCUCCUAGGUCAUCUGGCCGGCAUGACUGCAUGGAGCACCAUUACCUUCCCACCGGAGCGGUACCUAUUGAUUUACUCAUAUUUGUAUGUUUUUGAACUCCUACUUUGGUAGAAACUGGGGCUAGGAACAGGGGCUCACCCCAUCCUGUUAAUUCGAACUGCCAACCAUGGACAUGAGGUCAUGACACGGAUUUUUAUAUGGUUUUAAUAUGUUAAACGAUUUAUAUGUGUUUUAAUUGUUUAUAUAUUUAGAUUGUUUAUAUUUUGAUGACAUGUGUUUUAUUGUUUAUCUGUACGGCAUUGAAUUAUUGCAAGAUCUGUAAGCUACCUUGAGUCCUCUCCAGGGUUGAGAAAGGUGGGAUAAAAAUGAAGUAAAUAAUAAAUAAAUAAAUAAACCUAAUUGCAAAAUACAGAAGUAGUUUUAAAAUAGUUAACUUCUACAAGGUUCAGUUUUAUUACUUCAAUUUUUUCCUCAAUUGAUAACAGUUUGGAAUUUCUACUUACAAAUUUAUACCAUAGGUUUAUUGUAUUACAAAGAGGGGUACUUUUAAAAUAGUGUGCAUUCUAUUUGUGUGUGUGUGUGUGUGUGUGUGUGUGUGUGUGUUAGUGUUUUUUGCCCUGCUUGAAGUUGUUAUAUCUGGCAUCAAUUUUUAUUCUUGUACUCCUUUCUUUACUCUAUCACUGUUCCGUCCCCCAGGACGAUGGUUUGCCUUACCUAUUGGUCGUUUGUUUGUUUUCCCUCCUUUGCAUUUUGUUUGAGCCUCUGGCUGCAAAAGCCUAGGAAAAGUGGCUUGGAAUCUGCAAUAGCUGGCUGCAGUUUUCUUUGCAGUGAUUGGUCAAAGAGUGCAACAUCUUAGGACCGCCCUUUUUACCAGGGUCUAGUCUCCAUUUUGGAGCUUCAUUCUGGCUAUUGUCUUCCAACGUGCUGGAGCUGUGCAAGGCUAACUGGGACAAAUCAUCCUCAAAACCAGGCCAAUCUAAGCCUAUCCAAAUUAGAUAAGUAUUGAAUUAUAUUGAUCUGGAAUAGGAAAUCUAGUUAGAGGAGCAAAGUUAUUCCAUCGCUUCUAGAACUAAUCUUUGCUGUAAAGAUAGGGAAGGAAAGAGUUUCUCCUUCUAAUAUAGGCAGCGUGAUUAGGGUAUAGUGGUUUUAUAAUCACCUUUGCCUUCUGGAACCCGGGAUAAUUCUGUGACUAAAACCUAUAGAAAUUUGUUUCAUUUUCUGCAACUUUAAGAUCUGUGCCAGGUUUACAACCUUGUAUGAAUAAACAUUCUUUUUUGAAGUUAUCCAGACUCAGUCGUUCAAUAUCUAUAGGACAGCUUAUAGGGAUUUGCAGUUCGCCCGGAUAAAGGACAGCACGUUUCAGUUUUAUAGUUUUUUAUUGUCCGGCGGACGGCACAGUUUUGAGGUCGAUCAGCGGUUUUUCCGCUUCAGCUAGCUUGCACGGCUUUAUAGUUUUUUAUAGUUUAGGAAGUUUUAGUAUAGGCUGCGGCUUUUCCGCCUGAGCUCAGUCUGCAUACCUAAAGACUCUACCAGCGUCUGAGGCAGUGGAGCCCGCUCUCAGACCUGAAGGAGUCAAAUAGUGGGGCUCUAUUUCCUUGCUAUUUGGCUCGCGUGUGCGCGCGUGGCCCAGUGGCUUUCUGGGUUUGCACAGGCUGUGCAGUUCCCAGCAACGUCCAGGGCUCCCUCGGCGGUAGACCUCGAGCCGCGGAGCACCAGCGACAGUUCUUUGGCUGGCUCUGAGGCGUGAAGCCCACCAGAACCAGGCUAGAACCUGGACAGGCCUGGCAACGCUGCUGCGAGUUCGGCCGGAGUUCGGUGACCUGCCUCAUCGUCCUGCGGUGGUGACCUGCCUCAUCGCCUGGCGGUGGUGACCUGCCUCAUCGUCCUGCGGUGGUGACCUGCCUCAUCGUCCUGCGGUGGUGACCUGCUUCAUCGUCCUGCGGUGGUGACCUCCCUUCACAGCGGGGAGGAGGCGUCUUUUCUCUCCUCCUUUCCAAAGCCAGCCUCGGUGCUCCUUCGGCGGCAGGCCUCGAGCCGCAGAGCACGAGGUGCUUGAAAAUUUGGCGAAGUCGCCAUUUUGGCAGUUUACGUCACUCGGGCAAGGGAGGUAUCAAGUGGCAAGUUGCUGUCAGUUGGCAUUUUGCAGCUUGCCCACUAAAAUCUGGCGCCAAAGGUCACAAUCUUUGUAAAGUAUAGUUACUUAGUGAUAUAUAUUGCUAUGGUUAAGUGUUGUGCAUUGUAUUAUAUAUUGCAUUUGCUUUUAUUGUAAAUUUACUUGCUGGUAUGUUGCUGGUAUUUACUUGCUGGUAUGUUGUAUUUGCUUUUGUUGUAAAUUUACUUGCUAUUAAGAAUACAUAAUGUCUAUGCAAUUUCAAGAUGAUACAGAUGGUAUACCUCCUUCUGAGGCUGAAAGUAGGAAUGAAAGGCCCCAAAGGAUAAAGCACCCUUCAGCCAAGAUGCUAGCCCAUCUAAUAGGUGAAAAGGAGCUCCUCCAUGUGAGGUUAGGUUCGGCAUGGGAGCGAAUUGUAACAUUGAUGGACAGAAUUGAGAGCUUGGGUAUUACAAGGGUGCCAUCCAUAUUACAGACCGACCUUGAAGAGACCUUCGGUCUCUGGAGGGGUUUGGUGUCUAAGAUAGUCCAGGUCCUCGAGCGCAUUAACGCCAAGGAUUCAGAGUUAGAAAUAGUGAGUGUCUUAGCUGACACUAAUGAGAAAGAAAAUAAGGUGAGGGCAAUUCUAGAUGCCUUGGAAUUUAGUUCUCCACCUGUUAAUCUAAGGUCUGAGCCAAAAGGAAAUCAGUCUUCCUUAUGCAGCCAUGAGACCAAUCUUUUAAAAUCACCUGCUGUGGCACUUAGUCUUAAGUCCAACCGCUCUAGCCAGGUAUCUAAACUAAGGGAGUGUGCAUCAUCUAAACAUAGCCACUCUAGCAAGUCUUCUGCUGCUGGGAGUGCCAUCUCUUCCCUAGCUGCCUUGCACAUUAAGGAGGCUGCACGUCUGGAGCUAAAGAGCAAGGUAGCGGGGGCGGAGGCUGAUGCUAAGGCAGCUGAUCUCACCCUUCCCUUUAAAGAAGAAGAGCAACGACUGCAAAUAGAACAGGCCCGUAGACAAAGCGAAAUGCAAAUAGAACAGGCCCGUAGACAAAGCGAAAUGCAAAUAGAACAGGCUCGUAUAGAGAUGCUUAGAAUAAGGAUGGAUGCUACUGCCAAAAAGGUAAGGGCUGAGACUUUGGCCAAGGCCCUAAUUGAGCCACUCACAGAAGAAAAUGUAAGUCAGUUGCCGAAGCAGGACCCUUCUUCCAAGGUGCUUGUGCAUCUUAAUAGCUUAAACAGCCAGUUUUCGGAUGAGGAACAGGAAGACUUCUCUCCUUACCCAGAGCAGGGCCCCAAAGUCACUUUUGAGUUUCCUGCAGAGCAGAGCGUCAUAGCGGGGAGCUCACCCUUGCCCGAGCUACCUGUGCCUCCUGCUAAAUCCCUAGGUCAGUCAAUCAGGGCCUCAAGGCCAAGUGCUAGUUGGCCCUUACAGACAGCUGCACAGGGAGCCACCGAUUCGUCAGUGGUCGAUGUCAUCCCUCCAAGAGGCCAAAGGUUGACGCAAGGUGCACGGUGGGAGUCCACUCCACAACAGCAAACUCCUCAAUUGUUCCCUUCGACGCCAGAGUCCCAGCUUGUCUCCAUCAUCAGAAGCCCCAGAAGAGAUCUUAAGGACAAGGGUGUCGAAAAGUUUUCGGACAAGCCUGAGGAAUUUCUUCUCUGGAAGGCCACCUUCCAGAGAGCAAUCAGAGACUUAAAGUUAUUACCUGAGGAAGAACUGACUCUUCUGGCUGCAUGGUUGGGCCCAGCCUCAUCCUCACAAGUUAAGAAGAUCUACGCAGCCCACGUAGCCGAUCCCGACAAAGCCCUGGAAAAGGCCUGGGCCAGGUUGCAGCAGAGGUAUGGGGCCAGCACAGAGAUUGAAGCAUCUCUUAUGGACAAGCUCCAAAGGUUCCCAGCUUUGAAACUCAAAGACUUCAAACUCUUGUGGGACCUCAGCGAUCUCCUUACGGAAUUAGAGUCGGCCAAGGAGAAUCCAGAACUGCCCGGUUUGAAGUGCCUCGAUCAGCACCUGUCCCAGAGGCAGAUCUUGACCAAGCUGCCCUUCACUUUGCAAGAACGCUGGGGACAGGAGGUCUUCAACUACAAGGAGGCCCACUCCCAGGCAUACCCUCCAUUUUCUCAUUUGGUCCAGUUCAUCACCAGGGCGGCCAGAGAAAGGAAUGAUCCGCAGACGGGCCUCCCCACCUUAUACCAAGGGACCCAGCCAGAGAAGGCACCUAAAGUGGAGAAAAAACCAUCCAGAGAGGCCAAAAGACCGGUUAGUGUUAAGGCUGUUGAAACUCAGCACAGGGCCAACGAAUCCAAGUCAGAGGUGAAGGAGGUGCUCUGCCCCAUUCACCAAAAGCCUCACAGUUUGGCCAACUGCCGGGAAUUUGGCAAGAAGCCUUAUAAAGAAAGACAACAGAUUGUACAGAAGCUGGGCAUAUGUUUUAGGUGCUGUGGAGCAACUCUUCACUUUGCAUCCAACUGCAAAGAGGACGUCAAAUGCGCAAGGUGUAACAGCCUUAAGCAUUGCACCGCGAUGCACAACUCUGACGCUGUCUCCCGCGCCAAAGGGGACACGUCUUCCAAAGAAGGGUCAUCUACUGAUGCCACCAACAUGCAGGCCGCGUCACGGAUGCAGGAGGAUGCUCCAUCGGUCGCCUGUACUGAACUAUGCUCUGACGUGCACCAGUACAGAGUUUGUCAUCCUAUCUGCCUAGCGGAUGUAUAUCCAGCCAAGAGCCCUUGGCUUAGAAAGAGACUCUAUGUGGCCCUGGAUUCACAGAGCGACACCUCCCUAGCUACUCCAGAGUUCUUCCGCAUGUUUGACCUUAAAACCAAGAUGGUCGAUUACACCAUGACUACAUGUGCAGGAAAAAAGAAGUUGCAGGGUCGCAUAGCAUCUGGCUUUGUUGUCUCCUCUUGCGACCAGAAGAGACAGUUCAAGUUGCCAGACCUGAUUGAGUGUUCCUCCAUCCCUCGGAACAAAAAACAAAUUGUAACUAGAGAAGUUGUGGAGGCUCAUCCACAUUUGCGACGGUUAAAGAAUGCCAUACCAGCCUUUCAGCCAGAUGUGGACAUUGCCCUUCUGCUUGGUGCGGACUGUCCGAACUUGUUCUAUGUGAACGACCAAGUUAAGGGACCUCCAGGGGCGCCCAUUGCUCAGCUGCUACCACUAGGCUGGACAGUUACAGGCCCAGUGUGCAUAAACAAGAUGCACCCACCAUCGUCGUUGGACUCCAAUCAAGCACAGGUGCUUAAAGGUGGACGUCCUACACUUGUGCGCAGUUGCCUAAGUCACAUCUCAGUCUACUGCCAAGCAAUAACUCCAGAGUAUUCCUCCAUCUUCAAAGUCUCUGAGAGAGACGAAGCCACAGCGCUCUCGAAAGAUGAGCAAAGGUUUUCGGACAUUAUGAAUGCUCAAGUCUCACGAAGUGCAGAGGUGAAAGCCUGCAAAUCAACCACAGAAAUCAAGAUGGGCCAAAGAUCUUGCCUGGAACCACACCGUUUUGAACGUUUUUCGGAGUGGCACAGUCUUCUUAGAGCAGUUGCUAGGCUUAUACAUCGUUUAGCUUGCAAAGAUAGUGAGCCUUUACACGUCCAGGAUAUGAUAAAGGCUAAGAGCGUCAUAUUCAAGUCAGUACAGAGAUCUGCUUUCAAGCAGGAAAUAGCUAGGCUAGAGCAAGGGCUCAACAUCCCUAAUCAAAGUCUUCUAAAUGAGUUAAACCCAUUUCUAGACAAAGAGGGCAUUUUAAGAGUGGGAGGGAGGUUAGCUAAGGCUAAACUCAAAGUGUGUACAAAGAACCCCAUCAUUGUACCCCCCAAUAGCCAUAUUGCUUUGUUGUUGGUUCGUCACUACCAUGAGAAAAUCCAUCAUCAAGGUAGAACUCUGACUGAGGCGACCCCUAGAAAUGAAGGCCUGUGGGUGGUAAAUGCUAAAAGUUUGGUCAGCAGUGUUAUUUUUAAGUGUGUCAAAUGUCGGCGACUCAGAGUCAGCUGAUGGCUGAGUUACCUCAGGACAGGACUUUGACAGACCCCCCCUUUUCCCAUGUGGGAAUCGAUGUGUUUGGUCCUUGGGAGGUUGUCACUAGGAAAACCAGGGGUGGUGUUGUAAAUAACAAAAGAUGUGCGGUUUUGCUUACUUGUUUGUCAGUACGAGCUGUCCAUAUAGAGGUUGCAGAGGGAAUGGACACUUCAUCAUUCAUAAAUGCAUUGAAAAGGUUCAUAGCCCUCAGAGGGCCAAUUAAGUUAAUUUGGUCGGACUGUGGCACCAAUUUUGCAUGUGCAGACCUUAGCCAACCACUUCUGGAAGAGGUGGAAGGCCGAAUACUUAAGCCAGCUUCCAACCAGAAGACUCUGGCAAACCCAAAGGACAAUGCCAAGGUGGGAAACCUUGUGUUGCCAAAGGACAAAGACUUGCCCCGCUAUGCCUGGCCUAUGGGCAUUAUACUAAAGACCUUUCCUUGCCCUGACGGUAAGGUUAGAAAAGUUCAAGUAAAGACUCAUAGUAAGGACAAAAUGUCUGUCCUGGACAGACCAAUUAGUGACCUCGUGUUGCUUAUUGGAGAUGUUUAAAGUUCUAGUGUUUGUAUUGUUGUGUAUACAAAGGUGUUUGUAUGUUUUUGAUUGGUAAAUUCCCACAUCCUGGGAAUUUAGCGGGGAGUGUUCCGUCCCCCAGGACGAUGGUUUGCCUUACCUAUUGGUCGUUUGUUUGUUUUCCCUCCUUUGCAUUUUGUUUGAGCCUCUGGCUGCAAAAGCCUAGGAAAAGUGGCUUGGAAUCUGCAAUAGCUGGCUGCAGUUUUCUUUGCAGUGAUUGGUCAAAGAGUGCAACAUCUUAGGACCGCCCUUUUUACCAGGGUCUAGUCUCCAUUUUGGAGCUUCAUUCUGGCUAUUGUCUUCCAACGUGCUGGAGCUGUGCAAGGCUAACUGGGACAAAUCAUCCUCAAAACCAGGCCAAUCUAAGCCUAUCCAAAUUAGAUAAGUAUUGAAUUAUAUUGAUCUGGAAUAGGAAAUCUAGUUAGAGGAGCAAAGUUAUUCCAUCGCUUCUAGAACUAAUCUUUGCUGUAAAGAUAGGGAAGGAAAGAGUUUCUCCUUCUAAUAUAGGCAGCGUGAUUAGGGUAUAGUGGUUUUAUAAUCACCUUUGCCUUCUGGAACCCGGGAUAAUUCUGUGACUAAAACCUAUAGAAAUUUGUUUCAUUUUCUGCAACUUUAAGAUCUGUGCCAGGUUUACAACCUUGUAUGAAUAAACAUUCUUUUUUGAAGUUAUCCAGACUCAGUCGUUCAAUAUCUAUAGGACAGCUUAUAGGGAUUUGCAGUUCGCCCGGAUAAAGGACAGCACGUUUCAGUUUUAUAGUUUUUUAUUGUCCGGCGGACGGCACAAUCACCUUUUUGUAUUAUGUGUACUAAUACUGAUUUCAGAGUAUCCCACAAUAAAACUCUUUUAUGUUUUGGGUAUGUAUAUAUAUAAAGUAAAAACAUUCGUUCUUCUUUUUGUAAAGACAUCUAAACAAAUCACAGGAAAUGGAUUUGGGAGAGGAUGGUCUUACCACCAGAUCAUCAAGAGGAUUUAGUGUUCUGAGUACAUGAUUAGUUCCAUUUUGAUUUCCAGAAGAUUUUUAAGCGGGUGGGUGAAACAAAAAACUUGAUAUUUACAUGACGAAUUGAGAACUUUUAAGAAUUAUGUGUUAUUGUCUAUGAAAUUUGAUUCUGAAUUUGUUUGAAUCAUCUCCUAUAAUUAUUUGCCCAUCAGCAAAAUCUGCUAAUCUGUGUCAGAUAAUUUGUCUGGCUUAAGAAGGUUUAGUUAUGAAGUCUCUCUGUACUUUUCCUUUCUGACUUAUGAUUCUAAUAUUGUCUCCCUCCCCUGUCCCCCAUUACAAGUGGUUAAAUUUUUGGUAAAACUAUUAGGCACUGCCUUUGCUUUUUUUUUGGGGGGGGGGGGGGGGACUUGUGAACUGAAAACCAAAUCUGGAAGCCGUUUUGGGUAUUUGACAUGGGUUUCUUAUAAGCAUAAUAUUUUGGAAUAUACAGUAGAGUCUCACUUAUCCAACAUUUGCUUAUCUAACGUUCUGGAUUAUCCAACGCAUUUUUGUAGUCAAUGUUUUCAAUACAUUGUGAUAUUUUGGUGCUAAAUUCGUAAAUACAGUAAUUACAACAUAACAUUACUGCGUAUAGAACUACUUUUUCUGUCAAAUUUGUUGUAUAACAUGAUGUUUUGGUGCUUAAUUUGUAAAAUCAUAACCUAAUUUGAUGUUUAAUAGGCUUCUCCUUAAUCUCUCCUUAUUAUCCAACAUAUUUGCUUAUCCAACGUUCUGCCGGCCCGUUUAUGUUGGAUAAGUGAGACUCUACUGUAGUUUGCUAACAGCUUAUAAUGUUUUCUUCAUUUCUUAUUUGAACCUAAUUCGUUUAUAUCAUUCGAUCAGGGCAAUUUCACAUAAAACAAUUAUAGCAGCAUGAUUCCACUUUAACUGCCAUGGUUCCAGCCUAUGAAAUUUGGAGAUUUCCAAUUUAUGGAGGGGUAUUUAAAAUAAGAGCUGUUGUUAUUGUUGUUGCCACUAUUGCUGCUGUUGUGUGCCUUCAAGUUAUUUCCAGCUCAUGGUGACCCUAAGGCCUUUCCUGACAAGUCUUAUUCAGAGAAGAUUUGCCUUUGGCUUGCAGUAUAUAAAUAUAGAAUACUUUAUUUCUCUAUCAUGGCUAUCAACUAAGAUAGGACGAUCUUAAUCAACUUUUAUUAUGAAUAUUAUAACCAGCCUUUCCUCUAGUGUGGAGAAAAGCAAAGCAGAGUACAGCAUUCAAGUAUUGCUGGCAGCCCAGUUCUCUAAAUUUUGGGUGGAGGCUAAGAAGGCUUCUUGUAGUAAAAGCAAGCCAUCCUAUCCUCUAUCAUGCAGCAUUCCCAGUGGCCUUCACAACCAGUACAGCAUAUCCACAUAAGUACAGUUUUGGUAGGGAGGUUCAAGAAGGGCACAGAGAGAAGAGGGAGGGGGAAGAUAGCACAAGAGGCAGUAAAGAUAAGGAGGAAUUGAGAAAAUGGAAGAGUAGGAAUAAACACAAAUGCAUUCAAGUGGAUCAGCAUGAAACUAUGUUAUGAGAAGAUACCAAUUGUUGAUGAAAAACAAUAAGUGAAAAAAUAGAAAAAAUAAAAAUAGUGUUUGUGUCAUAUUGUCGCAAAUCUGUAAUUGUAGCAGUAUUGAAUGACUGAGGAUGGUGCAACAUCGCUGCCUUGCAGCGUUUUAAUUUUUGUAUACUUUUUAUCAUGUUUUAAUUGUCUUGUUUUAUAGUAUAUUUGUUGCUGGCCCUCGUGGCAGAAUGUAAGCCGCUCUGAGUCCCCUCGGGGAGAAGGGCGGGGUAUAAAUGCAUGUAAUAAAUAAAUAAAUAAAUAAGACCAGUGUUGGUUCUAUUUUGGGAUGGGUGGUAAUGGUUGAAGCAGUGCCCUUUUGAUACAGGAGAGCUUUCAAAAUGGCUAUGUUUGCUGUAGUAUCUGCAAAGGAAAGUUUGUGGUGUUGUAAGCCAAUACAGCAUUGUCCAGCUUUUGGUUGAUCUCAGCAGGAAUGGAAUAUCAAACCAGAUUUGCACACUUCUAUUUUUAAAAGUGCAUUUCCAGUUGUGUAUGAGAGAAUGAGGGUGCGUUUUAUUUUUCUGCAUUUGCUUCCUCUUGUGUUUCCUAUGGUAGAGUUUCACAUCUGGUGAACAUUUUGGGUUUUGUAAAGGCUACACAUGUUUUUCUAUGUGUCCUGGAAUUACAUUGAAAGGAGCUGAACUUGCAUUUAUGUCUGCCUGCUGCAGUGGUUCAGUUUAAAUUCACUCUGCCGUAUUAAAAUCUCAGAUGAAAGGUUUUGAUCAACCAUGACUGUAGCGUCUCACUUCUAGAUUUUGAAAAGUUAAUAACUUUUGAUAGACUUGAGCUUUUCUGUGGCACCUUGAGAAUCCUACAAUUAUAUGUCUUGUUUAUUUAUGUUUUCCAUUCCACCUAUUUCCAGAAGUGGGUCCUAAGACACCUCACAUCUCUCAGAAUAUUUUAAAAUCGUGUUCAAACAGUUAAACCUCUCUAUACUCAUUUAGUGUCAUCUUCCAUGUAGUUGAGGAUCUGAGCAGGUAAUUCAGUCAUCAUGUCUCUCUGUUCUUUUUUCUGGAAUUCUAUGGAGGAGCGGAUUUACAUUUCUUUAACAAAUUUCAAGGUCUUCCACUUUUGUUUGGCAUAUUUAGCUUCAGUUUCUACUUUUUAAGGUUCAUCUCAUGAUAAAUUUCAAUUUUUUGGUGUGUCAUUUAUUGUAUUGCCUCACCCCCACCCACCCCCACCUUUUUCUAAGGUCAUAGACCUAUGUUUUUGUAGAUCUUUAACUAUAUCUAUUUUAAACUUUUGUAAAAUAUCUCAAGUUGGUGUGUUUGCGGAAAGAAUACUGUAUGGUUUAGAUUCCGUAUAAGCUUUCAGGUUGUCCUUUGUCAUAGCUACUGAAUCAUCAUCAUCUCUUUCUCUGUCAUCUAUUGGCUCCUUUAAUAUAAAUGUUCACUGAAAUCUUCCUUUUCUGAAAUAUCUCUGGAGGGUUUGGUCCCUUGUACCAGAGCUCCCAAUGUUGUGUGUUUUGAUCAGGCAGAAAUUGCGUUUUUCACUAUUUCUUAAAGAGUCUGUUUAGACAGAUGGUAUGCUCUGCCUAAAGUUUGUUUUCGGCUGCCCUGGAGACUAGGAUGUGGAAUAAUGGUUUCAAACUUCAGGAAAAGAGAGCUAUUCAGCAGUGGAAAACUCUGUCGCAGAGUGUGGUGAAAGCUUCUUUGGAGGCUUUUAAGCAGAGGCGGGAUGGCCAUCUGUUGGGAGUGCUUUGAAUGCAAUCUUCCUGUUUCUUGGUAGAGAGUUGGGCAGGAUGGCCCACAAGGUCUCUUCCAACUCUAUGAUUUUAUGAUUCUUGCCAUGUUGAUGACUGGCCAUGUCCCAAAAUUUCUGGAAUGUGGACAGUCAGGUGGUAUUCCCAUUCUGCACUCUAUACACUCUGGAAUUCUCCACUUGCUUCCUUCUGAAGCUUCCUUUUCCUUAAAACUAGAGCCAUCUGAAUACUUAUUUUUUCUGCAGUAUACUUCAUGGGUUGAUUAAUUUAUUAUAUUUACAUUCUGCUUUUCUUCCAAAACUGAGGCAAAUAAUGGCUCACAACACAACUAAAAAGAGAUCAAAAUAAAAUACAGUGAUUUAUAUAAUAAUAGGAUAUAAUUAUAUUAAAACGGCAAUCAGCAAAUUAUAAGCUGUUUGAAAGGAAUAAUAAAAAUGGUUGGAUAGCAACAUAAAUGAAAGCUAUCCAGUUGCCAAAAGUCAGUCUGAAUAAAUAUAUGCUUACUGAUGAAAGGACACAGGGAGGGACAUAUCCAGUAUGAAAGGGAGUUCAACCUGCAAGUAAUUAUAUUUGAGCAGAGAAGUAGUCUGCUGUUGAAUAAUAAGCCUGUAGGUGACUCUUCACAAAAUCUAUACUAUUUACCAUUUCUUUCUAUCUAUCUGGAGGAGUUAGUAAGAGUGAUCUGCUUGAUGAUUUCAGAUGACUUCCUUCUGGGAGGCAUGAUGAAUAUACUUAGGAAAUGAUCCAUAAUUAAUUGACCUGAAUUCCAUGAAGUGAAGAAAGUAAUAAAGUACAUCGAUACACUGUGCUUGUUCUCGCCCAGAGAAUCACAAACCACUCUUGGAUCCUAUUUACAAUUCUGGUUAGGAGAGCAAGUGCAAAUGAGAAGUUCCUGGUCUGCAUUUAGUGCCAAUUGUUUCUACUAAACAGGAAAGUAACCUAUUGAAUCUUCAAUGUGGAAGGGAAAGAGGAUACAUUCUCGUUUUAAUUCAUGUCAUCAUUGGAUAAGUGACUCAUGGUCAUGGCACAAAGCAAGUGUUCCUAUGUAAUCAUGCCUCUGUUUGGAAUGGGUGACAGGAGUGUGAAACAUGCCAAUGGCAUGCCAGUUUAACCUUGUUAAAUGUUUGCCAGCUGGGUGGUAAUUAUUUACAGUACUGUAAUGUUGAACAAUUGGCACCAUAACAGGAUAAUUACUUAGUUAACCAUGUGAUCCCACAGCUGAAUAAUUCCUCUGUAAGCUAGGAGACACUUUUAGUGAGACAGAAAGUGGUGGCCAACAGUCUUGUUUCUAUUACUUCCUUACUGAAAGGAAAUAAAGGAGAGAAUGAAUGCCAGUUGUCAAAUAAAAAGGCUGUAAAUGUAGCUUUGCAUAGGGAAGGCUAACUAGAUAGUCACUCAAAUGAAUAGGCUCCUUUAUAGCCCUACAUAUAUGAGUAGGACAUUUGCAUAUUUUAUAUGCAAACUGUGAAAUAAUAUGCAUCUUAAGAAUGACUAUCAUGCAUCUGGAAAAUAGCAGAUGUGGAUUUUGAGAAAUAAUUACUUGUUUACCUAUUUUCUCUUGUUCAUAUAAUAGCUGUAUUCUGGUUGUCAUUUGUUUUGAAAUAGAUGAGUGUUAAUAUCCACUAUCCUUUGUUAAAAUUGAACCCAAACAUCAGUACACAAAAUAAAUAUAGCACCAGUAUUAUAUGCAUGUUGUGAUCUAUUGUGAAUGUUAUUUUUCUUUGUUGUGGUUUCGGUGCGUAGAUGUUUUGCAUUUUUAAAAAUAAAAUCUUGUACUAUUCCUUUCCACCAUAAUGCACUCUGUGGCAUGAGCCGUGUAUCUGUUGGAAAUCCAGUGCUUAAGUCCUCUCUGUGGAUAUCUGUAACCUUAUAUACAGUAUGUUGACUAUACUUGGGCUGGAAGAAUAUGAAAUAAUAUCAUUGGAGAACUUAGAGAUGCCCACACACACUUUUUGGGGGGUACAUCUUUGGAACGGGGGUAAAUGAUACUGUGGAUAUUAAAUUUGUGGAUAAAGGAGACAUAAGAAAGAUUGGAAGCUUCUGUGGAUUCCAUAUUCAGUGGUCAUUUUUAGAACAUGUCAAAUAAGUUCUAAAAGAACUUAGCUACUUACCAGUCCAUGUUUCUGCUGAAAUGUUGAUACUGAUAAUUCUGGGACAUCUUUUUCAUCCCAAUCCCUCCAUGGAAGCCCUUUUAAGUUGUUUGUGCAAUUUCUGGCCAGAGUACCAUUCAGCUAUUCUGCAAUUAAAGAGAGAGCAUAAAUAUGAAGUUGAAAAAUUAAAGUCUGAAUUUGAGCUCAAAGUCUUUCAUGUUCGAGGAGAGUAUGCAUCAUCAGUAGCAAAACUUGAAGAUGAUAUUGCAAAUUUGAAAAAUGAACUGGACAAUAAA